This 253-nucleotide ribosomal RNA is filed under the name uncultured bacterium. RNAcentral describes it as "partial 16S ribosomal RNA". It matches the Rfam family "Bacterial small subunit ribosomal RNA", at positions 524 to 776 of the family's 1533-position model. The record is from RNAcentral.
UACGUAGGGGGCAAGCGUUGUCCGGAUUUAUUGGGCGUAAAGAGCGUGUAGGCGGCCGUACAGGUCAGCUGUGAAAACUCGAGGCUCAACCUCGAGACGUCGGUUGAAACCGUACGGCUAGAGUCCGGAAGAGGAGAGUAGAAUUCCCGGUGUAGCGGUGAAAUGCGCAGAUAUCGGGAAGAACACCCGUGGCGAAGGCGGCUCUCUGGGACGGUACUGACGCUGAGACGCGAAAGCGUGGGGAGCGAACAGG